This 249-nucleotide unclassified non-coding RNA is filed under the name Hevea brasiliensis (rubber tree). Lineage: Eukaryota; Viridiplantae; Streptophyta; Magnoliopsida; Malpighiales; Euphorbiaceae. The record is from RNAcentral.
GAGAAACCCCAUAAACAUAAUCAGAGCUGAAACAAGAAGAAGACAAAAUCCAAAACAAUCAAUAAGAACCCUUCAAAAUCUGGAUUUGUUGUCGAGUCUACUUUGGGCAGUAAUAGUAUCAAAGAUGCAAUCUUUUUCACCAUUUUCAUAUCUUUCGUUAUUCUCUCUCUUUACAACUCUGAGUUUUGUGAAAAUUGUCUUGACCCAAGAUGGGUUUUGCUCUGCACCAUUAAGAAUUGAUGCUGAUUC